GUUGGGUUAAGUCCCGCAACGAGCGCAACCCUUGUCCUUAGUUGCCAGCACGUAAAGGUGGGAACUCUAAGGAGACUGCCGGUGACAAACCGGAGGAAGGUGGGGAUGACGUCAAGUCCUCAUGGCCCUUACGGCCAGGGCUACACACGUACUACAAUGGUCGGUACAGAGGGUUGCGAUACCGCGAGGUGGAGCCAAUCCCAGAAAGCCGAUCCCAGUCCGGAUUGGAGUCUGC
This 235-nucleotide ribosomal RNA is filed under the name Rhodanobacter sp. FW510-R12. Its description in RNAcentral is "partial 16S ribosomal RNA". It matches the Rfam family "Bacterial small subunit ribosomal RNA", at positions 1074 to 1308 of the family's 1533-position model. The record is from RNAcentral. Lineage: Bacteria; Pseudomonadati; Pseudomonadota; Gammaproteobacteria; Lysobacterales; Rhodanobacteraceae.